UAGAGUUUGAUCCUGGCUCAGAUUGAACGCUGGCGGUAUGCUUAACACAUGCUAUUCUAACGGAAACGAUACUAGCUUGCUAGUAGGCGUCGAGUGGCGGGCGGGUGAGUAACNCNUAAAAAUCUGCCUGAUAGUGGGGGAUAGCCCGAAGAAAUUCGGAUUAAUACCGCAUAAUAAAAAACGUAGUAAAGUGGGGGACUUUCGAGCCUCACGCUAUCAGAUGAGCCUGCGUAAGAUUAGCUUGUUGGUGGGGUAAAAGCCCACCAAGGCGACGAUCUUUAGCUGGUCUGAGAGGAUGAUCAGCCACAUCGGGACUGAGACACGGCCCGAACUCCUACGGGAGGCAGCAGUGGGGAAUAUUGGACAA
This 367-nucleotide ribosomal RNA is filed under the name uncultured marine bacterium. Its description in RNAcentral is "bacterial SSU rRNA". It matches the Rfam family "Bacterial small subunit ribosomal RNA", at positions 1 to 371 of the family's 1533-position model. The record is from RNAcentral.